RNAcentral lists this long non-coding RNA (234 nucleotides) under Mytilus galloprovincialis (Mediterranean mussel). The record is from RNAcentral. Lineage: Eukaryota; Metazoa; Mollusca; Bivalvia; Mytilida; Mytilidae.
UGUUUGAUUUUUCUUGUAAAUUUAUAGGAGAUAAUCCUACUUAAACAGUUUUCCAUUGUACAUUACACACACACGCACAACAAACAUUUACUUUAUGUAUAACCUUGUUUCCAUCAACAGUGUCAACUCUUAUAUUCAAUAAGUUGCAAUGCAUGAAUAUGUAUAAUGUGAUGAAGUUUGACCUUAUGCGCGAAUAUCUGGACAACACUACCUUAUAGAUCUGUGUUAUUAUUU